CAGCAGCCGCGGUAAUACGGAGGAUCCAAGCGUUAUCCGGAAUCAUUGGGUUUAAAGGGUCCGUAGGUGGAUAAUUAAGUCAGAGGUGAAAUCCUGCAGCUCAACUGUAGAAUUGCCUUUGAAACUGGUUAUCUUGAAUUAUUAUGAAGUAGUUAGAAUAUGUAGUGUAGCGGUGAAAUGCAUAGAUAUUACAUAGAAUACCAAUUGCGAAGGCAGAUGACUAAUAAUAUAUUGACACUGAUGGACGAAAGCGUGGGGAGCGAACGGGAUUAGAUACCCCGGUAGUCCACGCCGUAAACGAUGGUCACUAGCUGUUCGGAACUUGUUUCUGAGUGGCUAAGCGAAAGUGAUAAGUGACCCACCUGGGGAGUACGUUCGCAAGAAUGAAACUCAAAGGAAUUGACGGGGGCCCGCACAAGCGGUGGAGCAUGUGGUUUAAUUCGAUGAUACGCGAGGAACCUUACCAGGGCUUAAAUGUAGAUUGCC
Molecule: ribosomal RNA, 486 nt
Filed under: uncultured bacterium
Lineage: Bacteria
Description: bacterial SSU rRNA
Rfam family: Bacterial small subunit ribosomal RNA
Source: RNAcentral